AAGACCUUGCGCCUUUGGAGCGGCCGAUGCCUGAUUAGCUUGUUGGUAAGGUAAAAGCUUACCAAGGCUUCGAUCAGUAGCUGGUCUGAGAGGACGGCCAGCCACACUGGGACUGAGACACGGCCCAGACUCCUACGGGAGGCAGCAGUGGGGAAUUUUGGACAAUGGGGGCAACCCUGAUCCAGCCAUGCCGCGUGAGUGAAGAAGGCCUUCGGGUUGUAAAGCUCUUUCAGCCGGAACGAAACGGUUACGGUUAAUACCCGUGAUUACUGACGGUACCGGAAGAAGAAGCACCGGCUAACUACGUGCCAGCAGCCGCGGUAAUACGUAGGGUGCGAGCGUUAAUCGGAAUUACUGGGCGUAAAGCGUGCGCAGGUGGUUUUGUAAGUCAGAUGUGAAAGCCCCGGGCUCAACCUGGGAACU
This 423-nucleotide ribosomal RNA is filed under the name uncultured bacterium. RNAcentral describes it as "bacterial SSU rRNA". It matches the Rfam family "Bacterial small subunit ribosomal RNA", at positions 207 to 622 of the family's 1533-position model. The record is from RNAcentral.